CCUCCCAGGACGCUGGCAGCAGCAACCCGAAGCCCCCGAACCCUCGGCAGGUCUGCCUGUCCUUCCCCGCGAUCUGAUUGGAUAAAGUGGGGGCUCGACGGUGGCCGACGUGGGACAGUCUGGCUGUGGCAGGGGUCUCGGAAACCAUGGGUUAUUGCAGUGGCAGGUGCACGCUUAUCUUUAUCUGUGGCAUGCAACUGGUUUGCGUGCUGGAGAGGCAAAUAUUUGACUUCCUUGGAUAUCAGUGGGCACCUAUCCUGGCAAAUUUUGUACAUAUUAUUAUCGUCAUUCUUGGCUUAUUUGGAACUAUUCAAUAUAGACCUCGUUAUGUAACAGGAUAUGCUGUCUGGCUAGUCUUCUGGGUUACGUGGAAUGUGUUCGUUAUCUGCUUCUAUUUGGAGGCUGGAGACCUCUCAAAGGAAACAGACCUUAUCCUGACUUUUAACAUUUCGAUGCACCGAUCUUGGUGGAUGGAGAAUGGACCGGGAUGCAUGGUGACAUCAGUGACACCCGCCCCGGACUGGGCCCCCGAGGACCAUCGCUACAUCACGGUCUCAGGGUGUUUUCUGGAGUACCAGUACAUAGAAGUUGCUCACAGUUCCCUCCAGAUUGUCCUCGCACUGGCAGGGUUCAUCUAUGCCUGUUAUGUUGUGAAAUGUAUAACUGAAGAAGAGGACAGCUUUGAUUUUAUAGGUGGCUUUGAUUCUUAUGGCUACCAAGGACCACAGAAGACAUCUCAUUUACAACUACAGCCCAUGUACAUGCAAAUUCCCUUGGAUAACAACUGAUAACAAAUUCUAUAUAUCAGCAUCAAGUGAUAUGCUGAAUUGCAAGCGAAGAUCAAAAUAGAAAGUCAAAAUAAUCAAGAUGACUUCAGUAUGUCAGCUCAAGGACCUUUCAAAGAACUUGUUUUGCUGUGGCCUCCUGCAUUUUAUAAAGAGCAAGAAGCAACCAAGUUUAAAUAUACAUGCAUACUAUAUUCAUGCAUAUUAUAUACGAAACAAACAAAAAGCCUCCACAUGCAGGCGCGCACACACACACACACACACACACACACACACACACACAAAAUUCUUUUUGGCCGCCUCUUUCCAACUGAAACAGACAGAAAUGCAGGAGACGCCCAACUUUGAUUUCCUGGAAGGAGGCUUCUCUCUCCCAACCCGUCAUAAAGUUCCAAAGCAGAUGUUUUGGCGUCCUCUGCUGGCCGUUACAAACUCCUCUGCAGCCCAGCCAGCAGGCCUCUUGGGAGCUGCGAAGUCAUCCGGGGCCGAGUAGUUUGAGAGCCUGGUCUUCCGCUCUUCCGUAUGUCUUGCUAGCACUACAGCUGCUUAGGCACUGUAACUGCACAAACAACAAAACAUGCGGUGAUCACCUUGUAGCCGAAGUCCGAAAUGGCAGGUUGCCUGCCCUAAAGGCUGUCCCGUACAUACUUGCCUUAACCCACCUCAGUUGUGCGGCCGAGAAUCUCACACAGAUGUCCCCAAGUCACCUCCUUGAGGCUAACACACUGCUGCUUACCCCGAUGAGUCUGGGUCUGUUGUGUUUCAUGUCAACGAACAAGACGGCAGUGUGUCUGUGUAAGGAAACUGCCAGCUGUCAGCAAAGUGCUUUAACACUGAGCCUCCAUAGUGGGCAAAAAGAAACAAGUAACAACAAUAAUUGUCCACCUUUAUAAUUCUUAAAUAUGGUCUUCUGAUAGGGUUGGGGUGGGACAAAAUGAAACUGAUUAACCAACUAAACUCAUAAUCUCCCGGAAGCAGAAAGCAGAAAUGGCUUAACCCACUGAUUUUAUUUAUCGCACCCUAGGUGCUUUUAUAAGUAUCUACAAAUAUUAUCUUUUACUAACGCAGAAAUAGCUGUGGAUUUCUAUCAACAGAGGCCAACUGAAUAUGUAUUAGCUAUGUUUACUCUUUUAUAUCUAAUUCAAACUGGAGACUCUAUGUAGGUGAUCUUUCUUUUCUAACUUCAGCGUACAAGAUUAUUUUUUGGGUGGGUGGGGGGAGCAAUAGUUACCUUGGUGAAAUACUUGAGAUCUCUUUGUGGUAUUUGGGGGAUCUGUUGUGUGUUUGAGUGUAUUUUAAUCCUCCUGUAUUAUUGUGGCAGAAAAACUGUGCUGUUAACGUAGUUGGCAACAAGAUGCCUUUGGAAACUUAAUAGUAGGUCAAUGUGUUUAUGGAAUAUUCUGAACUCCUAGGAAAUUUUGUUUUAUAUUUUCAAGCAUUAUUUUGUUUUCAUUAGUGGAAAACAUCAUUGGCUCCCACUUAUCAGGAACUCAGAUGAGUCUUAUGUCUUUUCUUGAGACCACCUGAGACUCCAAAAUCUUUUUUCUUUCUAAUACACCAUCCUUAAAUGUGGUGAAAUUCAGAUUUGGAAAGUUAUGAAUUGGCAUGGAGCAUCUUUUUUUUCCCCCCUUUAAUUUCUGUGACAUUUCAAUUGUUGGGUUAACCUACUUUGAACCUCAACCCAUCCAGAUCUACCUAAGCCAGUACCAUUACUGUGUUUGCAUGGAUGUCUGUGAUACACACAUAAAUAUUUAAAAAUGGUAAAGGAACACAAGGUUACUCUUGGAGCAGAAGCUAUGAAAAAAAGGUUCUGCCAUGCGUGUUUGAAUUUUCUCAGUGGCUUGUAUAUGUCCAUAUAUACAUGUAUAAAAUAUACAAUUGCAAACAUGUCAGUGAAACCUCAUAUGAUUUUAUUGUGACAUGCAUGUUUAAUAUAUGAGAAAAGUAUUAACCAAUGUAUUGUCUUUUGAUUCCUAAAGUAUAAAUACUAUACAUGCCAGAAACUAUUCUGUGACUAUUCUAAUGAGGUUUCACUGUACAUUCAUGCUGUGAUGAGAUUCCACCUGAUAGUACAUGUAUAUGGAUACAGAUUUGAGUGCACAGAAUAAGCCCUCACGUUCCUGCUUUAAGUUGCAGCCAAGUUACCAACAAAUCACUACUAUCAUCACCACCAAAAUUUUCAAAACAGUUGUUGACUACUAAAAAGUAAUCGAUGGACAGGAUUUUUCUGGGAGCGGUAAGCACAGUUGUGUGAUUAUAUCUGGAAAAAACAUCUAAAUUUUACAGCUGUAUCCUCCUCAAAAUCUGGUGAAGAAUGCUAUUUUUCUAGGCUGAGCUUUUGUUAUAAACCUAAUAUUCAGAAGGCAAGAGUUACAAUCCUGAUGUGUCUUUUUUUUGCAUUUGUUAAUUCUAAAUGUAUUUUUAACAGAGUGAUUUUUUUGACUUACUAGUGUAAUUUGCAUUUUAAAAAUAAAUGGAAAAACAAUUAAAUUUCUGAGCCAUCCCUGAAAGCUUCUGCUGCUUCUCACAGUGUAUUUGAUUAUGUCACAGAGAGGGAAGCCAUAUUAGGUUUACAUGAAGGCGAUGCUGAUCUUCUAGACAGUGCAGGUAUGUGUCAGAUGUGGAAAGAAACUACCAGGUCAUGGCACCAUUUAGCUCAGUCAUAAGUAACAUGCGCUGUCGUUAUCUCCUGAUACUAAAGGGCUCUGUUACAAGACUGCUUGGAACCGACUUGCUGUCAUUUAAACAUUUUUUUAAAAAUUUUGCCUUCUGUCUGAGAUUUAGAGUUAGCAUCAGUAUAAUAGUUGACAGAGAUAUUAGAUACUGU
Molecule: RNA transcript, 3612 nt
Organism: Choloepus didactylus (southern two-toed sloth)
Lineage: Eukaryota; Metazoa; Chordata; Mammalia; Pilosa; Megalonychidae
Gene: NKAIN2
Gene name: sodium/potassium transporting ATPase interacting 2
Exons: 8
Source: RefSeq, a predicted model, not a curated record